Molecule: small nuclear RNA, 356 nt
Filed under: Erinaceus europaeus (western European hedgehog)
Lineage: Eukaryota; Metazoa; Chordata; Mammalia; Eulipotyphla; Erinaceidae
Description: 7SK RNA
Rfam family: 7SK RNA
About the family: 7SK was discovered as an abundant small nuclear RNA in the mid-70s but a possible function has only recently been suggested.
Source: Rfam by way of RNAcentral
GGAUGUGAGGACGAUCUGGCUGAGAUAUCUGUCACCCCAUUGAUCGCCAAGGUUGAUUCGGCUGAUCUGGCUGGCUAGGCAGGUGUCCCCUUCCUCUCUCACUGCUCAGUGUGUGUCCCUCCUGAAGCUACCCGUAGGUCUAAGAGGACGGCCUAUCCGGAAUACUCUUAGGUCAAGGGUAUAGGAGUGGCUGCACUACAGCCUAUCCGGAAUACUCUUAGGUCAAGGGUAUAGGAGUGGCUGCACUCCCCUGCUAGAACCUCCUAACAAGCUCUCAAGAAUGGGAAAGCUAUCAGGGGGAGGGGAUGGGAUACAGCGUUCUGGUGGUGGGAAUUGUGUGUUGUAUGCCUUUUAUC